This 28-nucleotide small RNA is filed under the name Bombyx mori (domestic silkworm). RNAcentral describes it as "ovarian small RNA-32486". Lineage: Eukaryota; Metazoa; Arthropoda; Insecta; Lepidoptera; Bombycidae. The record is from RNAcentral.
UGAUAGUGAGGUUGUCGGCCGUGACCGC